RNAcentral lists this ribosomal RNA (433 nucleotides) under uncultured bacterium. RNAcentral's name for it is "partial 16S ribosomal RNA". It matches the Rfam family "Bacterial small subunit ribosomal RNA", at positions 29 to 507 of the family's 1533-position model. The record is from RNAcentral.
AACGAACGCUGGCGGCAUGCCUAACACAUGCAAGUCGAACGAGACCUUCGGGUCUAGUGGCGCACGGGUGCGUAACGCGUGGGAACCUGCCCUUACGUUCGGAAUAACUCCCCGAAAGGGGUGCUAAUACCGGAUAAUGUCUUCGGACCAAAGAUUUAUUGCCUUUGGAUGGGCCCGCGUUGGAUUAGCUAGUUGGUAGGGUAAAAGCCUACCAAGGCGACGAUCCAUAGCUGGUCUGAGAGGAUGAUCAGCCACACUGGGACUGAGACACGGCCCAGACUCCUACGGGAGGCAGCAGUGGGGAAUAUUGGACAAUGGGCGAAAGCCUGAUCCAGCAAUGCCGCGUGAGUGAUGAAGGCCUUAGGGUUGUAAAGCUCUUUUACCCGGGAUGAUAAUGACAGUACCGGGAGAAUAAGCUCCGGCUAACUCCGUG